CUUUGCAUGUAUUUCCAGACAAAGUCCAUUACACCUUGCUCCUGAUGCCAAAGUUUUCUAGUUCUGAAAGAGCAGUAAUUCACAAUGGAGCAAGUAUUCCUUCAAUUUCCUUUGCUUCAAAAUGGUACCGAGAAUCUGUUCUGAAUGAAGGCAGACAAAAAAUGCUCCAUGUUAAUGCACGCUCUGGGUUAGCUGUCUUUGUUAAAUUAGAAUGAGUGCUGCUCAUUUCCCAUCUGGUCCUCUGUGACAUUACUUCCAGAAUACAUUCACAGCUCCUAUUUGUGCAGUGCAAGUUGCUGGCUGUAGUACCAACUUUACCUUUUAUAGGCUGCUAAAACACGGGUGCCAGAUCGCAAAGUAACGCUCCACUUCUAGGAAGCAUCUGUGGACUUCUCCUGCUUCGACAGCUUUCUUUUUUCCCUCCUCUUAUUUUCUUUAAAUGUAACCAUCUAUGUGAAAUGAGUUUGUUGUCAAACCGAGCUGACGGUUUGACAGCCCCGGAGCCUUCGUCGCGUGGUGAGGAUGCAGCAGGCAGAGGAAGCGAUGCGCUAUCAGUCUGCCCCGAGGGCUGCAGGAGCAGAUAGGUCCCAUCUGCAGCUCUGCUCAGUGCCUUCGCUGCCUGCUGUGCUAUGCUGUGCAUCCUCCACCCCUGCCCUGCAAUGCGUCUCACUCCUACCUGGGUACAUGCGGGGUGCUGAGCUGAGUUGCCCAUGUGCAUUGACCGCACCGUGAAUUCUCACCAUAGCAACUGCCCGCCCCAACAGAACGUGGGGCUUAUUAAAGAGGCUCUUUGUGUACCUCUCAGGCUGUGAGAGCAGCACAGAACCUGCGAGCUGAACAAUGCUGCAGGUGUCUUCCCUUGUAAAACAUGUAAUUAUUGCCUUCUGUAAGUGAAAUGGAUAUGGGGAUUCUGCGUGGGGUGGCAGUGAAGAUGUGGGGUGGCACACUGCUAUUAGUGCUGUUACGAAUGGAAGAUCAGCAGGCACGCUCCUCAGUAGAUGCUCCUGAUAAACUGCAUUGCAUACCUUUACUUUGUUGGGCCACAGAGGUGACUUUGCGUACAAGUGCUGCAAAUGUUUUGUUCUUCUCCUUUGCUGCUGAACUACUGGGAAGUGAGGAUGGGUGGAAAUGGAGAUGGCGAUCGCCAGCGGCUUCUGCCAGGAGGCCAUGUGUGCAGCCAACAGAUGACUACAUGGGGAUCUAUAAAGCAAUAAAAAGCAGAGUCCAGAUAACAAGGCUUAGCGGGAAUAAAGAUAAGGCAGCAUCCACACCAUCGGUGCAUGCAUGGGCAAAGACGAGAGCAGGAAGAGCAGGAUGCCCUUCACAACCUCUGUGCACGAGAGCAAGAUAGACCCCAGGACAGAGUAAGAAAGAAGAGAUGCAACCCAUCAACCUCCUUCUGCAUCUCUCUCUGCACCCGUGGAUCUAUAGGGAGAGGCAUUCUGGUGCACACUUCCCUGAAGCUGAUGUGUGAAACAGUCUCUGCAGGAGAUAAUGGUGAGCAGCCCUCAAUGAAAGCAGGAGCUAAAUCUGAUUCACAGUAAUCGCUUGAAAUGUGUUACCCAGUCAUCUGCUGCCUUGCACAGCGUGCCAACACUGGUAUAAUGAACCGCUGAUCGUUCACUUAAUAGCUACACAGUGGCUGAAAAGAUGGGGACUCCUACAUCAUGUAAAUUUGCCUAGAUUUCAUACUCCCACUGGUGACCUCCAGUCCCUUUUACA
This 1722-nucleotide long non-coding RNA is filed under the name Gallus gallus (chicken). RNAcentral's name for it is "long non-coding RNA NONGGAT007846". Lineage: Eukaryota; Metazoa; Chordata; Aves; Galliformes; Phasianidae. The record is from RNAcentral.